RNAcentral lists this ribosomal RNA (497 nucleotides) under uncultured bacterium. RNAcentral's name for it is "partial 16S ribosomal RNA". It matches the Rfam family "Bacterial small subunit ribosomal RNA", at positions 28 to 507 of the family's 1533-position model. The record is from RNAcentral.
GAUGAACGCUGGCGGCGUGCCUAAUACAUGCAAGUCGAGCGAACAGACGCGGCGCUUGCUCCUCUGACGUUAGCCGCGCACGUGUGUGUAACACGUGUAUCACCUCCCUAUCAGACUGGUAUCACUUCGGGAAAUCGGCUCUUAUCCCGUAUAAUAUCUUGCUCCGCAUUGUUCAUUAGUGAAAGUCGGUUUUUCUGUCACUUCUCGCUGGAUCCGCGCCGCAUUAGAUAGUUGUUAAGGUAACGGCUUACCAAGGCUACGAUGCGUAGCCGACCUGAGAGGGGGAUAGGCCACACGAGAACUGAGACGGGGACAAGACGCCUAAGAGAGGCAGCAGUAGGGAAUGGGACGCAAUGGGCGAAAGCCUGACGGAGCAAGGCGGCGUGAGUGAUGAAGGUCUUGGGAGCGGAAAAAUCUGUUAUUAGGGAAGAACAAAUGUGGAAGGAAAUAAGCACGUAGUGACGGUACCGGAUCAGAAAGCAACGGCUAACUACGUG